UAGACAGAAGCCUGCUGGAUGAGGCAUUUAGCUGUUAACUAGAUUAUUGUGGGAUCGAGGCCCAUCUGUCUAG
Molecule: transfer RNA, 73 nt
Filed under: Mullerornis agilis
Lineage: Eukaryota; Metazoa; Chordata; Aves; Struthioniformes; Aepyornithidae
Description: tRNA-Asn
Source: RNAcentral